AUGCAGCGCCUCUCCAUCGGAUCGCCGGGCUCGAGACCCAGCCUGGAUGCCGCCCCCGCCGCGGCCGCGGACGAGGCGGACGAGAAGGCGACGGGGAAGGCGGCCAGGGCGGCCGCGCCGGACAAGUCCAUCCACCUCGUCCCCCUCCUCACGCUCCUCUGCCUCCUCGUCCUCUUCCUCUUCUCCCACGACCCGGCCACUUCCCGCGCCAUCGCCGAUUCGCCACCCGUCCUGGCCGUCACCGCCCGCUCCCUCGAGGCCACAGCGGACACGACGCCGUCGGUGGCGCGGGGCGGCGCGCACCAGCGGCUGAAGGCGGACCCGACGCCGCGCCGCGGGCGAAGGCUGGGAGCGCCGCGGCAAUGA
RNAcentral lists this ribosomal RNA (366 nucleotides) under Triticum aestivum (bread wheat). RNAcentral describes it as "partial small subunit ribosomal RNA". The record is from RNAcentral. Lineage: Eukaryota; Viridiplantae; Streptophyta; Magnoliopsida; Poales; Poaceae.